CUGGGGGGCCCCAGGCUUGGAUGCGGUACUCCAGAUGGGGCCUCACAAGGCCAGAGUAGAGGGGGACAAUCACCUUCCUCACCCUGCUGCCACCCCUCUUCUGAUGCAGCCCAGGAUACUGUUGGCUGGACACCUGGGGGACACCAUUUGUGACCGGCCUCCACCUGGACACAGAGCCAUUGACAACAACACUCUGGCUACAACUAUCCAACUAACUCUUCAUCGACCAAAUCCUUUGAAUCCAUCUCUCUCCAGCUUAGAGAUAAGAAUGUUGCAUAGGACCAUGUCAAAGGCCCUGCAGAAAUCCAGGUUUGAAAGGAUUUUGCUUUUAAAGGGAAAAUAGCAUAUCUCUGCAUUCUUCUCCAUUGUAUCGGGAGAAGUGGGGCUUUUGGAACAUGGCGUGAGGAGCUGUUUGGCACUCAGCAGUGAUGGAUGUGGAGAAGAGCCGGCUGAUGUCCCUUGACUCCUUCGUUCUGCUUAGGGGUGAAUAAUGCCCACCAAGGAUGGCUUCUCAGACGCAAGCUUUCAUUUAGUGAAUUGUGUCAGCUUUUGAAGAAAUAAUGGAAACCCUUUUCAAAAAACAUUUACUUAUUUUUGGUUUUGUUUUCUUGUCACAAGCAUUAACUAAGUUCAGCGUGACUUUGCCAGCUGACAGGUCAGGUAGGACUGGCAGUUGUCGUUAGAGGUUUCUCAGGCUGCAAUGCCACCAAAUCCUGCUGGUGUUCUUCAGCGUGACUGCAUGCACCAGCCUCUCUGAAAACAUAUUUCCAGGCAGCUUUGUAUCAUCUGAGGAUAAGGUGGCGGUGUAGGAGGGAUAAGAACAGGGAGGGAUGGGAAAGACCUUAGGGAGGCCUUGGAGUAGGGAAUUUGAGCUAAUUAAACAGGAAGGAGCAGGAAAACCAUAGGCAGGAGUGGCAGGAGCAGGGGGGAGGUGUUCCCUGGGGGAGAUGCAGAACAUGUGAUUUGUAGCCUGUCGCAGAGCACGGGCAGUUAGCACAAUAACAGCGUUGGCCCAGCAGAGCUGUGUGCAUUCACCUCUCUUCUCCCACAGACCACUAGUGGAUGUGGCUCCCUUGCAGACAUGAUGCCCAAGCAGCACAUUCUGCAUGUCCCUCAGCCUCCUGUACCUGCCUUCAGGCUCCCACCCUGGCACAACGAUCUUCUGCUUUUACAGGGGACACAGGCAGCCACAAGCUGCAGUGGCCCCUCAUGCUGUGCGGAGCCCCGUGACACUGGUGGCAGAGAGGUGAGCCGUGCUCCUCACCGGGGUGGAUCCGUCACCUUGACCGGACCAACGCCCAUCAGCAUGUCAGGGCUGCGGCAGGGCUCCAAGCAGCGGAUGCAGCCGUCGCUGCCACUAAUGAGUUUGUUGCCGUGUUGCUAAUGAGUGAGUGCUGGGAGUACAUUUUCUCCUGUGCUGGUUUCCCAGACCCCUUCUUGAGAAAGCAAACCCGAUGCGGAUGAAAGCAAUAUUGCAGUACACUAGAUAAAAUUGCUUCCUUUGUUAAUUUUUCUUUUCCUUUUAAUUUCCUUUUAAUCAGAGCUGAGUCUCUGAAGGCAUCAAAAUCAAUACUUUCUGCGUACGCUGCUGCUGCUUUUGAAACUAUUUGCCCUUAUUAAGUAACGUUUUCCUCCCAGACAUGGCUGUUCCUGGAUGAGCAGCAUCCCUGCUGCCAGGAGAAGGAUUUCUAGGAGGAGAGAGCCUGAUGCAGCCACAUGCUGACUGACACACACAGACCAAACCCACCACCACUUGUGCUUCUCAACACAUUUUCCAUAGAUUUCUGAAAGGUGCUUUGUGGAAAGAGUAGCAGCCUCUGCAAGCCGCUCUGUGCCAUUCCCCAUGCUGACCUGCCCUGCUUGCUGCUCCUUGCUGGGAUCUCAGCUGCAGCAGGUGGUGGCUCGGAAGCUCAGAUUUGUAGUUCUUCUGAAAGCUGCAGAGAAAGGAGGAAAACCAUUUAAAAUGUCCCAUUAGAAUGCCACUCCACAUCUGAAAGUGCCUGUGACAACUUUUAUGGAGCUCUGUACGUGUUUUCCUGUUCUGCAAGAUGUGUUUGGCGCAUGUGUGCCACCAUCUCCACUUGUAACCAACCUUGGCAGCCUGGCAGGAGCCCCUCUCCACCCACCCCAGGGCUCUGAGCACCUUUUCCUCACCCUUCUGGUUGCCCUGGAGGAUAACUGCUCCAAGGUGCAGCCCCGUGCCGGCUGUUGCAGUUUGUACCACAGAGCUUGCCAAGCCUGCUGGCCUUGCCAGAACUGAGCCCAGGCUGUUGGCAGCACCACCUGCCUCACAUGCUCGCCCUCACUGCUAAUCUGUCCUUGAUUGCGGACCCGGCAUUCAUUGUUGUCAAUUAGCUGUGCCUACAGAGAUGCCAUGUAAUGGCCUUAGUGCACAGGAUCCAGCCCACGGUCCCCUCUCUGCGGGUCACCGAAGGAAGCCUUUGGCUGUGUGCCUGGCCACGGGAAGCAGCCGGCACCAGCACAUGGAUGGCACGGGUGUGGAGCAGCCGUGCAUGGCUGCUUGCUGCAGGGCAGGGUAGAGGUGAGGACAGCAAGGGGAGUGGCAGCCUGGGGCUGGGGUGGGGCUUCCCAUGGCUUCAGGAGGUUUGGAGCAGCCUCGGGACACCCUCGGGACAGUCUGACUGUCAUCGUCUUCUCCCCUUCUAGCCUUGGGUGUAGUCCAACAGCCUGGGUGUAAAUUUUUCAGAAGACUUCAGCACAAAAUGCUGAAGCAGCAGCAUUGAGCACAGCCACGCUUAUGGCGCCGUGCACUGGGGCUGCCAUCGUGGUCACAGCAGGCAGCAGUUCCCAUUGCCUUCACAUCAGUGGCUCAGAAUUAUUACUGUAUUUUAAAGAUCCCUAAAACUAGACAUUUUGGGAAAAGAUGGGAACGCAUGGGAAAAGGUGGGAAAGGAUGGGAAAUGAUGGGAAAGCAAGGGAGAAGGAAAGAAAAAAAAAAAAAGAAUUAACCAAAUCUCAAUCUCUGAACCAGGGGCCGGCAGCACCUGCAGGACUGCAGGACCUGGAGUACAGAAGCACACCCUGAGUUCUGUAUCUCUACUCAGCGAUGCCGUGGCUGUUGCUAAGCGACAGGUGAUGCUUGCUCUAGCCAAAAUUUGGUUCUUAAAGGGCUUCCAUCAAGGGGAAAGUCCCUCUGUGGUGAUGUGCGGCAGAGAACCAGGAGGUGCCGUGCCCAUCUCACCUCCACCUCAGCUCCGUGUACCCCAGCACCAACCAGGGUCUGUGCUCCAUCAGCUGUUGUUCAGUCAAACACUGGUAGAAAAAUGAACCAUCACCAUUAAUCCCUCCUUUAUUUGCAUGGUUUUGAUGCCAUCAAAACAGAUGACACUGAUGUAGCAUAAGGAGAAUUUUUAAAGAGGAGCAUUAUGUUUUAAAACCCUAAUAAAAGCAAAAUAAAUGCUGGAGUUUGAAUUUA
This is a long non-coding RNA of Numida meleagris (helmeted guineafowl), 3436 nucleotides long. RefSeq lists it as uncharacterized. NCBI's taxonomy places the organism in Eukaryota, Metazoa, Chordata, Aves, Galliformes, Numididae. The transcript is spliced from 3 exons. The record is from RefSeq and is a predicted model, not a curated record.